UUCCCUUAGUAACUGCGAGUGAACUGGGAAAAGCUCAAAUUUGAAAUCUGGCAGUUUUUACUGUCCGAAUUGUAAUCUAGAGAAGUGCUUACCUGUGCUGGACCAUGUACAAGUCUCUUGGAAUGGAGUAUCACAGAGGGUGAGAAUCCCGUCUUUGACAUGGACUACCAGUGCUUUAUGGUGUGCUCUCAAAGAGUCGAGUUGUUUGGGAUUGCAGCUCAAAAUGGGUGGUAAAUGCCAUCUAAAGCUAAAUAUUGGCGAGAGACCGAUAGCGAACAAGUACCGUGAGGGAAAGAUGAAAAGAACUUUGGAAAGAGAGUUAAACAGUACGUGAAAUUGCUGAAAGGGAAACGCUUGAAGUCAGUCACAUUGGCUGGAAAUCAACCUUGCUUUUGCUUGGUGUACUUUCUGGUUGAUGGGUCAGCAUCAAUUUUGACUGCUGGAUAAAGUCUUUGGGAAUGUGGCAUCUUUUGGAUGUGUUAUAGCCCAUUGUCACAUACAGUAGUUGGGAUUGAGGAACUCAGCACGCCUUUCAAAAGGUCGGGUUUUAUUUAAACCACGUUCGUGCUUAGGAUGCUGGCAUAAUGGCUUUAAUCGACCCGUCUUGAAACACGGACCAAGGAGUCUAACAUUCAUGCGAGUGUUUGGGUGGAAAACCCAUGCGCGUAAUGAAAGUGAAAAGUUGAGAUCCCUUCAAAAGAGGGGAGCAUUGACGCCCAGACCAGACCUUUUGUGACGGAUCUGCGGUAGAGCAUGUGUGUUGGGACCCGAAAGAUGGUGAACUAUGCCUGAAUAGGGUGAAGCCAGAGGAAACUCUGGUGGAGGCUCGUAGCGAUUCUGACGUGCAAUCGAUCGUCAAAUUUGGGUAUAGGGGCGAAAGA
This 881-nucleotide ribosomal RNA is filed under the name Inocybe floccosistipitata. RNAcentral describes it as "LSU rRNA". It matches the Rfam family "Eukaryotic large subunit ribosomal RNA", at positions 75 to 930 of the family's 3401-position model. The record is from RNAcentral. Lineage: Eukaryota; Fungi; Basidiomycota; Agaricomycetes; Agaricales; Inocybaceae.